Molecule: long non-coding RNA, 2299 nt
Organism: Papaver somniferum (opium poppy)
Lineage: Eukaryota; Viridiplantae; Streptophyta; Magnoliopsida; Ranunculales; Papaveraceae
Exons: 6
Source: RefSeq, a predicted model, not a curated record
UACAUUUUUCUUUUUCCUCUCUGUUUCUUCCUCCCCUUUCUCCUCUAGUCCUCUUUAAGAAAAAUGGAGAUAAACUGAUUUUGAUUUUGUGAACACAGAUUAAACCCAGUUACAAAAUCCUCCAUAACUUAUCAAAAUCAUUAAAGUCAUUAACUGAUUUUUGAUUUUGUAAACCUGGAAAUUGAUUUUCACUCUUAGCUUGAAACUCUUACAAAAAAGAUUUGAGUUUUUAGAAGUAAAAACCCUAGAAGAUCUCUAACCUCAGGAAUGGAAAAACCCCUUUUACAUAAAUCAAAAUUAUUUUUUAUUUGUAAACCCUAGAAAUUUGAUUUCUAAUCUUGUGUUUGAAUCUUGCAGAAGAAGAUCGAAAUGCAAAUUAUAGAAGAUUCAAGUACAAAUUCUUGAAGAUUCAGGUGAUUCAGUAAAUGCAGAUAAGAAGUCUGGGGUUUGUAGAAUCCUCAAGGUUCUACUGUGAAAAUAAUAUUCCCCUAUGUUUUGGUUUUAUUGAUAUGAUUUUACUUUCCCAUGUUCUUUACUGAGUUGUUUUGUUUUAGGACUUCAGGUUUCAUGUUCUUUUAGUUUGAUGUUUAUAAAUAACACACAGUUUAGCGUUUUCUACAGUUUAAAGUGGGUAUGCUUCAAAGCUUUUCAUGGAUCUGUUACGGGAUAAGGUUCAUACAAUCAAUUUUUCGGCCUGCAUUUUACUACUGAUUUGGAUUAUAGGUCUAAAUUGCUACUUGUUUGUGAAUUCAUUGACUAAAAUUGUAAACUUUUAGGCAGAGUAGAAUCCUAACCAAGCAAUCAAUUUUUUUUUGAUAUGUCCUCAUCCUUUUUGGUGUCUCUUCUGCGUUCUUUAUCACUUUGUCUAAUGUCAACCAAUAUUAUUAAACUUAACAAGAGUAGUCUUCAGUUAGCAUUUAGAAGUGAAGUAUAAUAGUUUGUAUUUUCUUAAAGGGCCACAUGCGUUAACAUAAUUAACAAAUUUCUUAUUAUAAUGUUAGUAGUAUUUUUUGGUUUGGAGCUUGUCGUAGCUUUUACAUGUCUAUUGUAUUUGCACUAUCCUGACUGAGUUAACAUCUUAAUAUAAUUUGGGCCUUAGCUUUCUCCGAUAACUUAAGUUCAGUUGGUAGUUACUUUUUUCUCACAAGCACUUAAAUUAUCUCUUGUGCACAUGCUUAGUACUGAUUUUCAUACGCUUCUCUGUUUCUAUUUUUAUGUAUGUGUAUAUUAGAAGUUGAAUGAAAGUCCACCCACGUUUUAUAUGCAUUCUAUAUGACUAAUUUAAAUCUUUUUUUCAUUUCUUGUUAUCCUUCAAAUGGAAAUCCAUGCCUCCUAGAUUCAUUUCUUACAUCUACUAGAAAGUGAGAAAUUAGUCUUCGAUGGACCGGUCUCUCAAUGUAAAGGGAAGGGCUUUUCCCCGUUUGCGUCAUACCAUUCACAGCUUCACAAGUUCAGUUGCAUCAUCACCAUUUGCAGCCACCAACACACCAUAAAGCUAGCUGCAGUUCUACUUCCCUAUGUGUUGGUGCUUGUGCCAACACGAGAAUCGUGUAUUUAGGUUAAGGAAAUCCCUCGAAAAUUACUGCAGUGAUUCCAUUGGAUGGUUCUAGGUCUUUUAAUGGGAGUGAAGAACAUAUCAUCCAGGCUUCACAAAGGUAGGAUUCUAGGUAUGUCAUCCUUUGGGUGGUAGAAAUGGAUCUGGAAUGGUUUUAUGAGGGUAUUUGCUUCAGGACUUUUAAGCUCACUACUCUUAGCUGGCAUUUGAAGAGUUGGACAACUUAGUUCCCCAAGGCAGGUUAUUACAUAGUAUACCAGCAAAACAACAAAACACUUCAAUGAAACAGGAGUAUUGUUGGUUCUGAUGAAAGGUGCAAAGGUCCCUUCAGAUGCUACAGAGGAACGUGCAAGAUACCUACAAAAAUUGUGGAAGAACAAGAGAGUAUUGGGAAAGACUUCAUGCCAGUUACAGCUUACAAAGGGUCCUCGUCAACUGAUGCUCUUGCCGUACCUCCACAUUCCGAGUUUGUAACAGAGUUAUCCUCAUCAUCUCUUCUGUCUAAUUUGCAACAAUUAGUGUGUUCAACAGUGAGACAAGGGAAUCUCCAAAGGAAAGCAUGGACACCGAAUCUGUUAACUUGCUUGCUUCCUUUAUUUGAGAUGUUACUGAAUGAUGUGCAUGUUUUAGAUGUGCAGGUAUUGCUUUGUAUGUUGCGUUUCUUUUGUUUUAGAUGUGCAUGCAUAAAAGAUGGAAUAAUUAUAUAAUCAAUAAAUGAGAAUAUGUAUAGAGUUGCAGUCAGAA